GAUCCUGGCUCAGGAUGAACGCUGGCGGCGUGCCUAACACAUGCAAGUCGAGCGAAGCGGUUUUGAGGAAGUUUUCGGAUGGAAUUAAAAUUGACUGAGCGGCGGACGGGUGAGUAACGCGUGGGUAACCUGCCUCAUACAGGGGGAUAACAGUUAGAAAUGGCUGCUAAUACCGCAUAAGCACACAGCUUCGCAUGGAGCAGUGUGAAAAAUUCCGGUGGUAUGAGAUGGACCCGCG
Molecule: ribosomal RNA, 238 nt
Filed under: uncultured bacterium
Lineage: Bacteria
Description: partial 16S ribosomal RNA
Rfam family: Bacterial small subunit ribosomal RNA
Source: RNAcentral